Molecule: transfer RNA, 60 nt
Filed under: Ictidomys tridecemlineatus (thirteen-lined ground squirrel)
Lineage: Eukaryota; Metazoa; Chordata; Mammalia; Rodentia; Sciuridae
Description: Spermophilus tridecemlineatus (thirteen-lined ground squirrel) tRNA
Rfam family: tRNA
About the family: Transfer RNA (tRNA) molecules are approximately 80 nucleotides in length. Their secondary structure includes four short double-helical elements and three loops (D, anti-codon, and T loops).
Source: Rfam by way of RNAcentral
UGUGGCUCAGUAGUAGAGCGCUUGCCUAGCAUGCAUGAGGCACUGGGUUUGAUCCCUGCA